Molecule: unclassified non-coding RNA, 257 nt
Filed under: uncultured fungus
Lineage: Eukaryota; Fungi
Description: sequence contains ITS2
Rfam family: 5.8S ribosomal RNA (bases 1-52)
Source: RNAcentral
AACGCACAUUGCGCCCUUUGGUAUUCCAAAGGGCAUACCUGUUUGAGCGUCAUUUCUUUCUCAUUUUAAAUGGUUUUGUGUGUUUUUUUUUGUUGUAGUAAUACAACAAUCACACUAAAUAUAAUGGCAUGAUUGUUAUUUUGUGAUAGCGUUUUAGGUUUACCAACUACGUUUCUCCAAAGCAACAAAGGUCAGGCCUAUAUAACAACCUUCAAAAAUUUGACCUCAAAUCAGGCAAGAAUACCCGCUGAACUUAA